UACGGAGGGGGCUAGCGUUGUUCGGAAUUACUGGGCGUAAAGCGCGUGUAGGCGGGUCUUUAAGUCAGGGGUGAAAUGCCAGGGCUCAACCUUGGACUGCCUUUGAUACUGGCUAUCUUGAGUAUGGGAGAGGUGUGUGGAACUCCGAGUGUAGAGGUGAAAUUCGUAGAUAUUCGGAAGAACACCAGUGGCGAAGGCGACACACUGGCCCAUUACUGACGCUGAGGCUCGAAAGCGUGGGGAGCAAACAGG
RNAcentral lists this ribosomal RNA (252 nucleotides) under uncultured bacterium. Its description in RNAcentral is "partial 16S ribosomal RNA". It matches the Rfam family "Bacterial small subunit ribosomal RNA", at positions 524 to 776 of the family's 1533-position model. The record is from RNAcentral.